UCCAGUAGCACCUUAGAGACCAACUAAGUUUGUUAUUGGUAUGAGCUCAUACCAAUAACAAACUUAGUUGGUCUCUAAGGUGCUACUGGA
Podarcis lilfordi (Lilford's wall lizard) is the source of this 90-nucleotide non-coding RNA. Lineage: Eukaryota; Metazoa; Chordata; Lepidosauria; Squamata; Lacertidae. The record is from the annotation of a GenBank genome assembly.